This 2638-nucleotide long non-coding RNA is filed under the name Papio anubis (olive baboon). RNAcentral describes it as "lncRNA (ENSPANG00000044200.1)". The record is from RNAcentral. Lineage: Eukaryota; Metazoa; Chordata; Mammalia; Primates; Cercopithecidae.
AUGUCAUUGUGGGAUGGUCAAUACACUUGCCUAUCUUCUCUCCAGGUAAUUCAAGAGGAUCUCUGGAGGUCCCUUUCAUCAGGUCAUUCUUCUCACUGCCCUGUUUCAGUGGGAGACACUCUCUACAGGGCAAGUUCAUCUAACUAUGUGCUUAGAAGUUCCAGAGUGGAGCUGUCACUCACCUGGAGGUUGCCUCAAGAGAUGACAGUCAAUCUACAAUGCAAAGUAUGCCUGCUACGAAAUUAUUUCCUACUUGGAGAGUUUCAGCCACAUUUACAACCUUGUUCUGCCCACAAGGACACCAAUGCUCACCAGCUUGAUCACCUGGUAGAUGAGGCACUAAAGCAAGUUUUGUGGACCCUCACCUGAUGCUUCCUCUGCUGCUUGUCAUUCAUGCUACACCCUCUUUUAAAAGUGCCUGCUUUCAGCCGGGCGUGGUGGCUCAAGCCUGUAAUCCCAGCACUUUCUGAGGCCGAGACGGGUUGAUCACGAGGUCAGGAGAUCGAGACCAUCCUGGCUAACACGGUGAAACCCCGUCUCUACUAAAAAAAAUACAAAAAACUAGCCGGGCGAGGUGGCGGGCGCCUGUAGUCCCAGCUACUCGGGAGGCUGAGGCAGGAGAAUGGCAUAAACCCAGGAGGCGGAGCUGAGAUCCGGCCACUGCACUCCAGCCUGUGCGACAGAGCGAGACUCCGUUUCAAAAAAAAAAAAAAAGUGCCUGCUUUCUGCUCCAAAAGCAAAGUGGUACCCUUAAGGCAGGAAGUCUGUACUUCUUCACCCUAAGCUAGCUUUGGAAUAAAAACAUCACACCAGACCUCACUCUUGUUAAUUGGACUCUGCAAAUAGCAAGCAGCUAAACCUGUGUUUCAGUUACAGACACAAAGGUAGGUGGCCUAAAUCCCUUUCAAAGAAGGACUGACUUCCCAGCUGGGGGUGGGUGAGAUGGGGUGUGCAGUGAGCUACCUCAGAGGCCUCUUCCUUUCCAGAGCAGCCUACGUUCUAUGAUGAAGCCCACUGAAGGUGUGUAAGCACAUUCAUUCUGGCUUGGCACAGAACACUCCCUCUAUAGCUCCCUGCCAAAUUGGCCAAGGCUACUUUCAGCCUGUACUGCAGUUCAACUUCUUCCUUUGCUCAAUCCUUGCCAUCUUCUUCCCUUCACAGGUGUUGAUUCUUCAUAAAUACCUUGCACUUCAAACUCCAUCUCAGCAUUUGCUUCCACAGAAUCUAAGCUAUGUGAGUUGGUACCAGGAGUGGCCCAAGAAAAUGGGCAAUAAGAUAAGGUUGUUGAGCAGUCAUCAGUUGCCUCUGGGUGGCCAUGAGGACUGGUAGCAGGAGGAACACACAUAGCCCCGGAGCAAGGUGGCACUCCAGUUGUUAAAACUUUGUGAAUUUGGAAGGUGUACUGAUGGAAGGGAAUGAACUAGCUGGAGUGAUUUUGGGCAUUUGCAGUGUAUGGAGAAAAGAGCAGCUGCAAGGAUAAGGGUAUGGGAUGGUGACUGCUAAGUGCCAGUGAUGCUGUACAGAAACAUAAUGAACAUUUAAGGGCUGAGUAAUAAGCUUUUGGAAGCCAGGUGUGAAAGCCAGAGGGCCUCUGUAGAUGCAUACACAGAAGCUCUCAUUUGCUCAAGAAGGGUGGAAAAGCCAAGGAAUAAGUUCAGAAGGGUUGAUUCUCCAGACUCCUCAGAACUUACUAAGCCCAUUGACUACAGAUGUUGCUCACCUACAUUAUGUGAAAAGAAAAUAAAAUCUUGGGACCCCAAAUUCACUGUGCCAAAGGGAAAGUUAAGCUUACAAACUGAAUGACAUAAAAACUGCUUUACUUUUGUUCCCAAAUAGAUAGCUGUAAUUUCACAUGCUUACUUUCUUUUAUGUAAAAUGUAGAUCUACUAAGCACAAGACCAAUGCAUAAUUGACUUUUCCCUCCACUUUUUCCUUUGCACAUAAAAUGUAGAUUCACUGAGUGCUAAUUAGAGCCUCAGAAGAAUGUCACCACUUGCCUCGUUGCCUACCCACUCCCCUCCUUUUUUCCUUUCCUUCUUCCCCUCCUGCUCAUUCUUUCCCCUUUAAAUAUUGAAGUCCUCAAAACCCUCUUUGGGAAAAGCACAGGAGACAGGAUUCUACUGUGACUUGUGUCUCUUUUUCCUGGGCACAUCCUAACCCUUGCCAAAAUAAACCUCUAAAUCAAUUGAGUUGCCUCAGUCACUUUUUGGUUAACAUUUAUGAAAGUACCUUUCAUCCUCCCACCCCAGAAGACAAUUCAGAAGCCUCUCCCUCUUCUUCAUAUGAUAUUUACUCAGAUAACUGCAAUGGGAAAAGGGGAAUAUCUAGAUAUUUUGCAGACUGCUGGAAACAAAAUCUGAGUAGACAUCGAUACCUAGAGACCUGAAGCAUCACCAUAACACUCUUGUUACAGUGAAGGUAUUUGGGAACUAGGUAAUAAAUACAAUUUUAACCAAGUUCUGGUUUAAUGGUCUACUGUGUCUGUGAAUCACCCUGUGAUCAGUUCCGCUGUCACCAACUGUACAACUAAAAUGGACAUAAUUGACAGUUGGUGCAACUCCCACAUAAAGCUCUUGGUCUGUGAGGUAACAGUAGGCUAUUAUAGCAGGAAAGACCAAGUAAAAGACUCUGAACCUCU